ACUAAGCUUGCCCUGUGCCCCCUGCCUCAGCCCCUCCCCCCUCCAUUCCACUGUUUCACACCCCACCGGCUAUGUGAGAACUGAGCCCAGCCCCACAUGCUAGUGAGGCUCCAGAAGGCCUGCAGGGCAACACCACUCACUCGUUGGCUUCCUGAAGCUGGGAGGACUUGGUUGGUGCCUGGACAAACUUCACUUCCCCUUGGAUGGUGGCAUUCUUAAGCCCCGUCUUGCUAAAAUCUAGUUCCUGAGAGGAGCGCUGAAGUCUUCAACUAUGAUGGCAGAUCCCACUGUUUCUCCAUGGAAGUUACAUCAGGUUUCCUCUUAAGUAAAAUUUUAAUGAUUUCA
Long non-coding RNA from Peromyscus eremicus (cactus mouse), 345 nucleotides. RefSeq lists it as uncharacterized. The record is from RefSeq and is a predicted model, not a curated record. NCBI's taxonomy places the organism in Eukaryota, Metazoa, Chordata, Mammalia, Rodentia, Cricetidae. The transcript has 2 exons.